AGUGAACGCUGGUGGCAGGCCUAACACAUGCAAGUCGAGCGGCAGCGGGUCCUUCGGGAUGCCGGCGAGCGGCGGACGGGUGAGGAAUACAUCGGAAUCUGCCCUGUCGUGGGGGAUAACCUAGGGAAACUUAGGCUAAUACCGCAUACGACCUACGGGUGAAAGCGGGGGAUCGCAAGACCUCGCGCGACAGGAUGAGCCGAUGUCCGAUUAGCUAGUUGGCGGGGUAAAGGCCCACCAAGGCGACGAUCGGUAGCUGGUCUGAGAGGAUGAUCAGCCACACUGGGACUGAGACACGGCCCAGACUCCUACGGGAGGCAGCAGUGGGGAAUAUUGGACAAUGGGCGCAAGCCUGAUCCAGCCAUGCCGCGUGGGUGAAGAAGGCCUUCGGGUUGUAAAGCCCUUUUGUCCGGGAAGAAAUCGUCUGGGCUAAUACCCCGGGCGGAUGACGGUACCGGAAGAAUAAGCACCGGCUAACUUCGUG
This 484-nucleotide ribosomal RNA is filed under the name uncultured bacterium. RNAcentral's name for it is "partial 16S ribosomal RNA". It matches the Rfam family "Bacterial small subunit ribosomal RNA", at positions 30 to 507 of the family's 1533-position model. The record is from RNAcentral.